UGAAACUGAGUUUCAGGAUGCAAGAUACUGUUCAGAUAGUUCUGCAAUACAUUCUUCAGACCCAGCAACUUUGGCAGGCCCGUGGAUGAUGGAAUAACCAGAUCUCUGCGGCCACCCCUGAAAAACAGAUUCUUUCUUCUGGAUUCCCUGGGAUUCUCUCAGCAGCCAGCCUUGUUUACAGAAGUCAGCGCGGACAGUAACAGCCCUUCACCAAUGAGCCACAGUGGAACCUUUGGGGAAGGCUCCUCACGGUGCUCUGUCAUCUGCUGACAAAGUGGUGCCAGGACCAGAACUUCACAAUGAACUCUGCAGAGAAAAAUCCACAGCAGAUGAAGGAAUCUCGAAGUCAGUGACAGGUAGACUCAGGCUUAAAGUGAGAGGAUCCCCCACGUCACUGGUUUCAACUAGAGGAUACGUCUGUGCUAUGAGAAUACUCAGUAUGAGAAACGUGCUGCGAAACAGAGGCAGCCAGUUGGAGCAGUGCUUCAGACUAAGCUGAGGUCAGUUUUAGAAUCACAGAAUACUUCAGGCUGGACAGGAACUCUUGAUGUCACCUCAAUCCACGCCCUGCUCAAAGAAGGUCUCACUACGUCAGAUCGCUCAAGGCUGCAGCCAGUCAAGUUGAACCCUCAAAUGGGGAGCCUCUGCUGAAUGCUGGUUACUGCAAGGUACUGGUUAAACGAAUUCAUAUGCAAAAAUAUUCUUACUUUUU
This 712-nucleotide long non-coding RNA is filed under the name Gallus gallus (chicken). Its description in RNAcentral is "long non-coding RNA NONGGAT008767". Lineage: Eukaryota; Metazoa; Chordata; Aves; Galliformes; Phasianidae. The record is from RNAcentral.